This 1399-nucleotide ribosomal RNA is filed under the name uncultured bacterium. RNAcentral describes it as "16S ribosomal RNA". It matches the Rfam family "Bacterial small subunit ribosomal RNA". The record is from RNAcentral.
AGAGUUUGAUCCUGGCUCAGGAUGAACGCUAGCGACAGGCUUAACACAUGCAAGUCGAGGGGCAGCGGGGGAGCAGCAAUGCUCCCGCCGGCGACCGGCGCACGGGUGAGUAACACGUAUGGAACCUGCCCGCAGCAGGGGGAUAAGCGGAAGAAAUUCCGUCUAAUACCGCGUAACACCGCGGAGGGGCAUCCCUCGGCGGUUAAAGAUUCAUCGGCUGCGGAUGGCCAUGCGGCGCAUUAGCUAGUCGGCGGGGUAACGGCCCACCGAGGCGACGAUGCGUAGGGGUUCUGAGAGGAAGGUCCCCCACACUGGUACUGAGACACGGACCAGACUCCUACGGGAGGCAGCAGUGAGGAAUAUUGGUCAAUGGCCGGGAGGCUGAACCAGCCAAGCCGCGUGAGGGAAGACGGCCCUACGGGUUGUAAACCUCUUUUGUCAGGGAGCAAGAGGCGGGUCGGGACCUGCUGUGAGAGUACCCGAAGAAAAAGCAUCGGCUAACUCCGUGCCAGCAGCCGCGGUAAUACGGAGGAUGCGAGCGUUAUCCGGAUUUAUUGGGUUUAAAGGGUGCGCAGGCGGAGGCACAAGUCAGCGGUAAAAUCGCGGGGCUCAACCCCGCUCCGCCGUUGAAACUGUGUCCCUUGAGUGCGCGAAGGGUAGGCGGAAUGCGUGGUGUAGCGGUGAAAUGCAUAGAUAUCACGCAGAACUCCGAUCGCGAAGGCAGCCUACCGGCGCGCAACUGACGCUCAUGCACGAAAGCGUGGGUAUCGAACAGGAUUAGAUACCCUGGUAGUCCACGCAGUAAACGAUGAAUGCUAUCUGUCCGGCCGGAAUGACGGCUGGGUGGCACAGCGAAAGCGUUAAGCAUUCCACCUGGGGAGUACGCCGGCAACGGUGAAACUCAAAGGAAUUGACGGGGGCCCGCACAAGCGGAGGAACAUGUGGUUUAAUUCGAUGAUACGCGAGGAACCUUACCCGGGCUCAAACGACACAGGGAUGCCGCCGAAAGGUGGCAGUCCUUCGGGACCUGUGUCGAGGUGCUGCAUGGUUGUCGUCAACUCGUGCCGUGAGGUGUCGGCUUAAGUGCCAUAACGAGCGCAACCCCCAUCUUCAGUUGCCAUCAGGUAGAGCUGGGCACUCUGGAGAGACUGCCGGCGCAAGCUGCGAGGAAGGCGGGGAUGACGUCAAAUCAGCACGGCCCUUACGUCCGGGGCGACACACGUGUUACAAUGGCAGGUACAGCGGGAAGCCAGGCGGCGACGCCGAGCGGAACCCGAAAACCUGUCUCAGUUCGGAUCGGAGUCUGCAACCCGACUCCGUGAAGCUGGAUUCGCUAGUAAUCGCGCAUCAGCCAUGGCGCGGUGAAUACGUUCCCGGGCCUUGUACUCACCGCCCGUCA